UCUAUUGUUGACCGGUCAAUAAAUGUUUCAUUGUUGGCCGGUUGCCUCCUCGCCAAAGCAUGCAGUGAACAUGACGUUUUGUGCACCGACACGUGAUACGGUUAUGACCAAUCGGCAAACAGAAAAAUUGAACUUUGACACUAACUAUAUAACAACUGUAUUUAUUAAACUUCGCCAGUUACAGCUAUCACACUGUAUUUACAUUUUACAUUUUUUUACAUUUACAAAACAGUCGCAUGGCAGGGUACACGCAAC
Molecule: non-coding RNA, 255 nt
Organism: Paramuricea clavata
Lineage: Eukaryota; Metazoa; Cnidaria; Anthozoa; Malacalcyonacea; Plexauridae
Source: the annotation of a GenBank genome assembly